UACAGAGGUCCCGAGCGUUGUUCGGAUUCAUUGGGCGUAAAGGGUGCGUAGGCGGCGGGGUAAGUCUGAUGUGGAAUCCCGGGGCUCAACCCUGGAACUGCAUUGGAUACUGCCUUGCUUGAGAACUGGAGAGGAGACUGGAAUUUACGGUGUAGCAGUGAAAUGCGUAGAGAUCGUAAGGAAGACCAGUGGCGAAGGCGAGUCUCUGGACAGUAUCUGACGCUGAGGAGCGAAAGCGUGGGGAGCGAACAGG
This 253-nucleotide ribosomal RNA is filed under the name uncultured bacterium. RNAcentral describes it as "partial 16S ribosomal RNA". It matches the Rfam family "Bacterial small subunit ribosomal RNA", at positions 524 to 776 of the family's 1533-position model. The record is from RNAcentral.